AGUGGCGGACGGGUGAGUAACGCGUGAGAAUCUGCCCUUAGGACGGGGACAACAGCUGGAAACGGCUGCUAAUACCCGAUGUGCCGAGAGGUGAAACAUUUAUGGCCUGAGGAUGAGCUCGCGUCUGAUUAGCUAGUUGGUGGGGUAAGAGCCUACCAAGGCAACGAUCAGUAGCUGGUCUGAGAGGAUGAUCAGCCACACUGGGACUGAGACACGGCCCAGACUCCUACGGGAGGCAGCAGUGGGGAAUUUUCCGCAAUGGGCGCAAGCCUGACGGAGCAAGACCGCGUGCGGGAGGACGGCCUAUUGGUUGUAAACCGCUUUUGAUAGGGAAGAAGUUCUGACGGUACCUAUCGAAUCAGCAUCGGCUAACUCCGUGCCAGCAGCCGCGGUAAUACGGAGGAUGCAAGCGUUAUCCGGAAUUAUUGGGCGUAAAGCGUCCGUAGGUGGUUGUUCAAGUCUGCUGUUAAAGCGUGCGGCUUAACCGCAUAUCAGCAGUGGAAACUGGACGACUAGAGUGCGGUAGGGGUCAGGGGAAUUCCCAGUGUAGCGGUGAAAUGCGUAGAUAUUGGGAAGAACACCGGUGGCGAAAGCGCUUGACUGGACCUGCACUGACACUGAGGGACGAAAGCUAGGGGAGCGAAAGGGAUUAGAUACCCCUGUAGUCCUAGCCGUAAACGAUGGACACUAGGUGUUG
RNAcentral lists this ribosomal RNA (697 nucleotides) under uncultured Chroococcales cyanobacterium. Its description in RNAcentral is "bacterial SSU rRNA". It matches the Rfam family "Bacterial small subunit ribosomal RNA", at positions 94 to 825 of the family's 1533-position model. The record is from RNAcentral. Lineage: Bacteria; Bacillati; Cyanobacteriota; Cyanophyceae; Chroococcales.